GGGGUUGACUGGAUUUGACGGCAAGACGAGAUGGUAUGUAAGCACGCGGAGCCUCGUUGGCUAGCUCCUUAAUCUGAGUGAACAAAAAUUAAUUGGCGAAAACAAUUACGCUCUCGCUGCCUAACCGAAGUACAGUAAGUUACUGGCUUAAUCGCGUCACAAGGUGAUGCGACGAGACAUCGCUCCGCGGAUGUUGUUCCGAAUCCAAAGGUCAAGCGGUGCAGAUUAAAUCGGAAAUAGCACUCCGGUGCCCCGGCCGUAGUGUGAAUUUUUAGGGGAUAAGGCAGUUGUUGGUGGUCCGGGUCUUGCAGCUGCACGAAAACCAAAGGCCGGAAUAAGCGUGUAGAAAGCAUAUUAUUUCCUUGUGCGGACGUGGGUUCGAAUCCCACCAGCUCCACC
RNAcentral lists this transfer-messenger RNA (399 nucleotides) under uncultured Prevotella sp. It matches the Rfam family "transfer-messenger RNA". Rfam says of the family: Bacterial tmRNA, also known as 10Sa RNA or SsrA, is named for its dual tRNA and mRNA-like properties. Lineage: Bacteria; Pseudomonadati; Bacteroidota; Bacteroidia; Bacteroidales; Prevotellaceae. The record is from RNAcentral.